UAGCAUGAAGUCAAACAAGAGA
This 22-nucleotide ribosomal RNA is filed under the name Symbiodinium sp. type D1a. RNAcentral describes it as "partial 28S ribosomal RNA". Lineage: Eukaryota; Dinophyceae; Suessiales; Symbiodiniaceae. The record is from RNAcentral.